RNAcentral lists this transfer RNA (24 nucleotides) under Tetraclita rubescens. RNAcentral's name for it is "partial tRNA-Met". Lineage: Eukaryota; Metazoa; Arthropoda; Thecostraca; Balanomorpha; Tetraclitidae. The record is from RNAcentral.
UUUAAAAAGAUAAGCUAAAUUUAA